CCCGUGCCGGGCGUGCUUACACAUGCAAGUCGAACGAUGAAGCCCAGCUUGCUGGGUGGAUUAGUGGCGAACGGGUGAGUAACACGUGGGUGAUCUGCCCUGCACUCUGGGAUAAGCCUGGGAAACUGGGUCUAAUACCGGAUAGGACCUUCGGCCGCAUGGCUGGGGGUGGAAAGUUUUUCGGUGCAGGAUGAGCCCGCGGCCUAUCAGCUUGUUGGUGGGGUAAUGGCCUACCAAGGCGACGACGGGGUAAGCCGGCCUGAGAGAGCGAACCGGCCACACUGGGACUGAGGACACGGCCCAGACUCCUACCGGAGGCAGCAGUGGGGAAUAUGGCACAAUGGGCGCAAGCCUGAUGCAGCGACGCCGCGUGAGGGAUGACGGCCUUCGGGUUGUAAACCUCUUUCACCCAUGACGAAGCGCAAGUGACGGUAGUGGGGAGAAGAAGCACCGCCCAACUACGUGCCAGCAGCCGCGGUAAUACGUAGGGUGCGAGCGUUGUCCCGGAAAUUACUGGGCGUAAAGAGCUCGUAGGCGGUUUGUCGCGUCGUCUGUGAAAACCCGCAGCUCAACUGCGGGCUUGCAGGCGAUACGGGCAGACUCGAGUACUGCAGGGGAGACUGGAAUUCCUGGUGUAGCGGUGAAAUGCGCAGAUAUCAGGAGGAACACCGGUGGCGAAGGCGGGUCUCUGGGCAGUAACUGACGCUGAGGAGCGAAAGCGUGGGUAGCGAACAGGAUUAGAUACCCUGGUAGUCCACGCCGUAAACGGUGGGCGCUAGGUGUGGGUUUCCUUCCACGGGAUCCGUGCCGUAGCCAACGCAUUAAGCGCCCCGCCUGGGGAGUACGGCCGCAAGGCUAAAACUCAAAGGAAUUGACGGGGGCCCGCACAAGCGGCGGAGCAUGUGGAUUAAUUCGAUGCAACGCGAAGAACCUUACCUGGGUUUGACAUGUACCGGGACGACUGCAGAGAUGUGGUUUCCCUUGUGGCCGGUAGACAGGUGGUGCAUGGCUGUCGUCAGCUCGUGUCGUGAGAUGUUGGGUUAAGUCCCGCAACGAGCGCAACCCUUGUCCUGUGUUGCCAGCACGUAAUGGUUGGGAACUCGCAGGAGACUGCCGGGGUCAACUUCGGAAGAAGGUGGGGACGACGUCAAGUCAUCAUGCCCCGUAAGUCCAAGGCUUCACACAAGCGACAAUGGUCGGUACAGAGGGCUGCGAUACCGUGAGGUGGAGCGAAUCCCUUAAAGCCGGUCUCAGUUCGGAUCGGGGUCUGCAACUCGACCCCGUGAAGUCGGAGUCGCUAGUAAUCGCAGAUCAGCAACGCUGCGGUGAAUACGUUCCCGGGCCUUGUACACACCGCCCGUCACGUCAUGAAAGUCGGUAACACCCGAAGCCGGUGGCCUAACCCCUCGUGGGAGGGAGCCGUCGAAGGUGAUUCCGG
Molecule: ribosomal RNA, 1438 nt
Filed under: Rhodococcus sp. (in: high G+C Gram-positive bacteria)
Lineage: Bacteria; Bacillati; Actinomycetota; Actinomycetes; Mycobacteriales; Nocardiaceae
Description: bacterial SSU rRNA
Rfam family: Bacterial small subunit ribosomal RNA
Source: RNAcentral